RNAcentral lists this ribosomal RNA (441 nucleotides) under uncultured bacterium. RNAcentral describes it as "partial 16S ribosomal RNA". It matches the Rfam family "Bacterial small subunit ribosomal RNA", at positions 338 to 795 of the family's 1533-position model. The record is from RNAcentral.
CCUACGGGAGGCAGCAGUGGGGAAUAUUGCACAAUGGGGGAAACCCUGAUGCAGCAACGCCGCGUGAGUGAGGAAGUAUUUCGGUUUGUACAGCUCUAUCAGCAGGGAAUAGAAAAGAAGGUACCUGAAAAAAAACCCCCGGCUAACCACGUCCCAGCACCCGCGGUAAUACGUAGGUGGCAAGCUUUAUCCGGAUUUCCUGGGUUUAAAGGGCGCGUAGACGGAAAGGCAAGUCAGAAGUGAAAGCCUAAGGCUUAACCAUGGAACUGCUUUUGAAACUGUUAAACUAGAGUAUGGGAGAGGUAAGAGGAAUUCUUAGUGUAGCGGUGAAAUGCGUAGAUAUCAGGAGGAACACGAGUGGCGAAGGCGACUUACUGGACCGAAACUGACGUUGAGGCUCGAAAGCGUGGGGAGCAAACAGGAUUAGAUACCCGAGUAGUC